GCACAAGAGGAUAUCUCCAUCGGUAGAGAAUGAGACUCUUAAUCUCAGGGCUGUGGGUUUGAGCCCCACAUUGGGUA
Non-coding RNA from Podarcis lilfordi (Lilford's wall lizard), 77 nucleotides. The record is from the annotation of a GenBank genome assembly. Lineage: Eukaryota; Metazoa; Chordata; Lepidosauria; Squamata; Lacertidae.